AAAAAAGGUAAGCUACUAAGAGCGAAUGGUGGAUGCCUUGACUGGUAAAGGCGAUGAAGGACGUACUAGACUGCGAUAAGCUACGGGGAGCUGUCAAGAAGCUUUGAUCCGUAGAUUUCCGAAUGGGGCAACCCAAUGUAUAGAGAUAUACAUUACCUAUAUAGGAGCGAACGAGGGGAAUUGAAACAUCUUAGUACCCUCAGGAAAAGAAAUCAAUAGAGAUUGCGUCAGUAGCGGCGAGCGAAAGCGCAAGAGGGCAAACCCAGUGCUUGCACUGGGGGUUGUAGGACUGCAAUGUGCAAGAGGUGAGUUUAGCAGAACAUUCUGGAAAGUAUAGCCAUAGAGGGUGAUAGUCCCGUAUGCGAAAAACAAACCUUAGCUAGCAGUAUCCUGAGUAGGGCGGGACACGAGAAAUCCUGUCUGAAGCUGGGUCGACCACGAUCCAACCCUAAAUACUAAUACCAGAUCGAUAGUGCACAAGUACCGUGAGGGAAAGGUGAAAAGAACUGAGGUGAUCAGAGUGAAAUAGAACCUGAAACCAUUUGCUUACAAUCAUUCAGAGCCCUAUGUAGCAAUACAGGGUGAUGGACUGCCUUUUGCAUAAUGAGCCUGCGAGUUGUGGUGUCUGGCAAGGUUAAGCAAACGCGAAGCCGUAGCGAAAGCGAGUCUGAAUAGGGCGCUUAGUCAGAUGCUGCAGACCCGAAACGAAGUGAUCUAUCCAUGAGCAAGUUGAAGCUAGUGUAAGAACUAGUGGAGGACUGAACCCAUAGGCGUUGAAAAGCCCCGGGAUGACUUGUGGAUAGGGGUGAAAGGCCAAUCAAACUUCGUGAUAGCUGGUUCUCUCCGAAAUAUAUUUAGGUAUAGCGUUGUGUCGUAAUAUAAGGGGGUAGAGCACUGAAUGGGCUAGGGCAUACACCAAUGUACCAAACCCUAUCAAACUCCGAAUACCUUAUAUGUAAUCACAGCAGUCAGGCGGCGAGUGAUAAAAUCCGUCGUCAAGAGGGAAACAACCCAGACUACCAGCUAAGGUCCCUAAAUCUUACUUAAGUGGAAAACGAUGUGAAGUUACUUAAACAACCAGGAGGUUGGCUUAGAAGCAGCCAUCCUUUAAAGAAAGCGUAAUAGCUCACUGGUCUAGUGAUUUUGCGCGGAAAAUAUAACGGGGCUAAAGUAAGUACCGAAGCUGUAGACUUGCGCACAACUUAGAUUAUUUAAGUUUAGAAUAUGAGAAACUAAGUUAUAUGUUUAGUUAUAUUUUUACUGAUUUUUAUAGAGUAAAGAUAGAAAUAAAACUUAGUAAAAUCAGUAAAAAUAUUCUUAGACUAAAGUUAAGUAGUUUAAGUUGUGUGCAAGUGGUAGGAGAGCGUUCUAUUUGCGUCGAAGGUAUACCGGUAAGGAGUGCUGGAGCGAAUAGAAGUGAGCAUGCAGGCAUGAGUAGCGAUAAUUAAUGUGAGAAUCAUUAACGCCGUAAACCCAAGGUUUCCUACGCGAUGCUCGUCAUCGUAGGGUUAGUCGGGUCCUAAGUCGAGUCCGAAAGGGGUAGACGAUGGCAAAUUGGUUAAUAUUCCAAUACCAACAUUAGUGUGCGAUGGAAGGACGCUUAGGGCUAAGGGGGCUAGCGGAUGGAAGUGCUAGUCUAAGGUCGUAGGAGGUUAUACAGGCAAAUCCGUAUAACAAUACUCCGAGAACUGAAAGGCUUUUUGAAGUCUUCGGAUGGAUAGAAGAACCCCUGAUGCCGUCGAGCCAAGAAAAGUUUCUAAGUUUAGCUAAUGUUGCCCGUACCGUAAACCGACACAGGUGGGUGGGAUGAGUAUUCUAAGGCGCGUGGAAGAACUCUCUUUAAGGAACUCUGCAAAAUAGCACCGUAUCUUCGGUAUAAGGUGUGGUUCGCUUCGUAUUAGGAUUUACUCCGAAAGCGAAGAAACUUACAACAAAGAGUCCCUCCCGACUGUUUACCAAAAACACAGCACUCUGCUAACUCGUAAGAGGAUGUAUAGGGUGUGACGCCUGCCCGGUGCUCGAAGGUUAAUUGAUGGGGUUAGCAUUAGCGAAGCUCUUGAUCGAAGCCCGAGUAAACGGCGGCCGUAACUAUAACGGUCCUAAGGUAGCGAAAUUCCUUGUCGGUUAAAUACCGACCUGCAUGAAUGGCGUAACGAGAUGGGAGCUGUCUCAAAGAGGGAUCCAGUGAAAUUGUA
This 2195-nucleotide ribosomal RNA is filed under the name Campylobacter coli. Its description in RNAcentral is "partial 23S ribosomal RNA". It matches the Rfam family "Bacterial large subunit ribosomal RNA", at positions 1 to 2046 of the family's 2925-position model. Lineage: Bacteria; Pseudomonadati; Campylobacterota; Epsilonproteobacteria; Campylobacterales; Campylobacteraceae. The record is from RNAcentral.